CCUACGGGGGGCAGCAGUGAGGAAUAUUGGGCAAUGCCCGCAAGGGUGACCCAGCAACGCCGCGUGGAGGAUGAAGGCCGUAAGGUUGUAAACUCCUGUUAGAGGAGAAGAAUAGUACCGAUUGGAUCGGUAUUUGACUGUACCCUCAGAGAAAGCCCCGGCUAACUACGUGCCAGCAGCCGCGGUAAUACGUAGGGGGCAAGCGUUGUCCGGAUUUACUGGGUGUAAAGGGCGCGCAGGCGGGAUAGCAAGUCAGAGGUGAAAUCCUACAGCUUAACUGUAGAACUGCCUUUGAUACUGUUAUUCUUGAGUUCGGGAGAGAGAGACGGAAUUCCAGGUGUAGUGGUGAAAUACGUAGAUAUCUGGAAGAACACCAGUUGCGAAGGCGGUCUCUUGGACCGAUACUGACGCUGAGGCGCGAAAGCGUGGGGAGCAAACAGGCUUAGAUACCCCAGUAGUC
RNAcentral lists this ribosomal RNA (460 nucleotides) under uncultured Ignavibacterium sp. Its description in RNAcentral is "bacterial SSU rRNA". It matches the Rfam family "Bacterial small subunit ribosomal RNA", at positions 338 to 795 of the family's 1533-position model. Lineage: Bacteria; Pseudomonadati; Ignavibacteriota; Ignavibacteria; Ignavibacteriales; Ignavibacteriaceae. The record is from RNAcentral.